UGGUAGAGGAGCGUUCCUUUAUGGGAUGAAGGGCAACCGUAAGGAUGCCUGGACUAAAAGGAAGUGAGAAUGCCGGCAUUAGUAACGAUAAGGAGAGUGAGAAUCUCUCCCGCCGAAAACCUAAGGUUUCCUGGGGAAGGUAAAUCCGCCCAGGGUUAGUCGGAACCUAAGCCGAGGCCGAAAGGCGUAGGUGAUGGACAACCGGUCAACAUUCCGGUACUACCAGAUUAUCGCUUUAAGUGAUGGGGGGACGCAGGAAGGUAGGUCAGCACGAUAAAAGUUACGUGUCCAAGCCUGAUAUGGGAGAAGAUAGGAAAAUCCGUCUUCUAUUAAAACCCUAAGAGGUGAUAGGGAGCUGCUAUGGCAGCGAACUGAUCGAUCCUACACUGCCAAGAAAAACCUCUAAACAAGAUAACCUGGUAUCCGUACUAAAACCGACACAGGUAGGUAGGUAGAGAAUACCAAGGCGCUCGAGAUAACCCUCGUUAAGGAACUCGGCAAAAUGACUCCGUAACUUCGGGAGAAGGAGUGCCCCGGUAGGGUGAGUUGAUUUACUCAUACAAGCCCGAAGGGGUUGCAAAGAAACGGCCCAAGCGACUGUUUACUAAAAACACAGGUCUCUGCUAAAUCGAAAGAUGAUGUAUAGGGACUGACGCCUGCCCGGUGCUGGAAGGUUAAGGAAGGAGGUUACCCCUCAUCACUGAGGGGGAAGCUUCUGACCGAAGCCCCAGUAAACGGCGGCCGUAACUAUAACGGUCCUAAGGUAGCGAAAUUCCUUGUCGGGUAAGUUCCGACCUGCACGAAUGGCGUA
This 811-nucleotide ribosomal RNA is filed under the name marine sediment metagenome. Its description in RNAcentral is "LSU rRNA". It matches the Rfam family "Bacterial large subunit ribosomal RNA", at positions 1226 to 2003 of the family's 2925-position model. The record is from RNAcentral.